This is a non-coding RNA of Miniopterus natalensis, 639 nucleotides long. Lineage: Eukaryota; Metazoa; Chordata; Mammalia; Chiroptera; Miniopteridae. The record is from RefSeq and is a predicted model, not a curated record.
AAACAAGCCAAAAACCCACACAGGGUUUCAGGAGUCCUAAUAUUUCUACAUCUACUUGCUGCCUCACACCAUCACUCGAGAAAAAGAAUUUGUUCUUAAAUCUUGUCUAGAAAUGUGGCUGUAGACCAACUGAACUGGCUUCCGAGGUAAUGCAGUCCCCGGGAUUUUCAUCUGUGCGCACCAAGUCUAGCAUCUGCCCUGGCCAAGGAUGACAAGAGCAUCUCGCAGAUAAGAAGUCCUUGCUCUCUAGGAGCGCUGCUCUUGGUAGCUGCGCGGCGGGUGCUGGCACAUGGGCCUCGCUCUGCAGGCAGCCUGGGCGGCCGGGAAGCCCUGCUCUGUUGGUGUUUCAGCCUGCAAAGCGCUGCGUUAAAAGCCUCCUUGCGUUCAGGCUGCCUCUUAAGAGGGUAGUCGCUGCUUUUCCAUCUGAUUUGAGCAUCUUGUACAAGCACACGACAAGGCAAUUCCAAAGUCCCUCGUCUGCCUGUGGUUUGCUUCUGCUCGAAGAAAAAUGAUAAAAGUGGCCUGUUACCUUUCUGUUUAUAGUCAGAAAUUCUGCUUCGUGAGGCUGCCCGCUAAUUAUUUUCAGAAAACACAACUGAAGACUCAUGGUCCGAAUGGAAUAAAUGACUAAAAACCAAA